This 684-nucleotide ribosomal RNA is filed under the name uncultured bacterium. Its description in RNAcentral is "bacterial SSU rRNA". It matches the Rfam family "Bacterial small subunit ribosomal RNA", at positions 8 to 696 of the family's 1533-position model. The record is from RNAcentral.
AGAGUUUGAUCAUGGCUCAGGACGAACGCUGGCGGUGCGCCUUAUGCAUGCAAGUCGAGCGAAGCUUUUCAGUAGUUUACUACAGAAAAUGACUGAGCGGCGAACGGGUGAGUAACGCGUGAGCAACCUACCUUAGUUACUGGGAUAGCCCGAGGAAACUCGGAUUAAUACCGGAUAUUCUUAUUUAAUCACAUGAUUUUUUAAGGAAAGGUCAGCCGAACUAAGAUGGGCUCGCGUUCUAUCAGCUAGUUGGUAGGGUAAUGGCCUACCAAGGCUACGACGGAUAGCUGGUCUGAGAGGACGAUCAGCCACACUGGGACUGAGACACGGCCCAGACUCCUACGGGAGGCUGCAGCAGGGAAUAUUGCGCAAUGAGCGAAAGCUUGACGCAGCGACACCGCGUGUGGGAUGACGGAUCUAGGUUUGUAAACCACUUUCAGGAGGGAAGAAAAUGACGGUACCUCCACAAGAAGCCCCGGCCAACUACGUGCCAGCAGCCGCGGUAAUACGUAGGGGGCGAGCGAGCGUUGUCCGGAUUUAUUGGGCGUAAAGAGCUCGUAGGCGGUUCAACAAGUCGGUCGUGAAAGUUCAGGGCUCAACCCUGAAAUGUCGAUCGAUACUGUUGUGACUAGGAUACGGUAGAGGUGAGUGGAAUUCCGAGUGUAGCGGUGAAAUGCGUAGAUA